GGGAAGUGCCGCGUGCUUAACAUGCAAGUCGAACGAGGUCCAUGGGUUCGCAAGAACCCGGAAGACCUAGUGGCGAACGGGUGCGUAACACGUGAGGAACCUACCCCAGAGACCGGGAUAACCCCUCGAAAGAGGAGCUAAUACCGGAUGUGCUCAUCGGAUCACCUGGUCUGAUGAGGAAAUGGAUUCCGCUCUGGGAUGGCCUCGCGGCCUAUCAGCUUGUUGGUGGGGUAGCGGCCUACCAAGGCGACGACGGGUAGCUGGUCUGAGAGGACGAUCAGCCACACUGGGACUGAGACACGGCCCAGACUCCUACGGGAGGCAGCAGUUAGGAAUCUUGCGCAAUGGGCGAAAGCCUGACGCAGCAACGCGCGUGGGGGAUGAAUGCUCCUCGGGUUGUAAACCCUUUCAUCGGGGUAUAUUUAUGACGGUACCCGAGAAGAAGGACGGCAACUACUGCCACUUCGCGGUAUACGAGGUCCAGCGUGGUCGGUUUAUGGGCUAAGAGUCGAGGCGUUCGUAGUGAAGUAAACUCAGGUCUCCGGAGCGCACUGUCCUGCAGACUUGGUCGUAGGGAUCGAUCUGUGUAUUGUGAUCUCUUUUUUUUUACCAAGCCAAGCCGAUCAGCAGCUGAGAUAUCUAUGUUGUACACGAUGAUCCCGAAUCUCAAUUUGCUUGUGUGUCAUCUCUGCCG
Molecule: ribosomal RNA, 694 nt
Filed under: uncultured bacterium
Lineage: Bacteria
Description: bacterial SSU rRNA
Rfam family: Bacterial small subunit ribosomal RNA (bases 8-483)
Source: RNAcentral